GUGCCUACGGGGGGCAGCAGUGGGGGAUAUUGCACAAUGGGCGCAAGCCUGAUGCAGCGACGCCGCGUGAGCGAAGAAGUAUUUCGGUAUGUAAAGCUCUAUCAGCAGGGAAGAAAAUGACGGUACCUGACUAAGAAGCUCCGGCUAACUACGUGCCAGCAGCCGCGGUAAUACGUAGGGGGCAAGCGUUAUCCGGAUUUACUGGGUGUAAAGGGAGCGUAGACGGCGCUGCGAGUCCGGAGUGAAAGCCCAUGGCUUAACCAUGGUACUGCUCUGGAAACUGUGGAGCUUGAGUGCGGGAGGGG
This 305-nucleotide ribosomal RNA is filed under the name uncultured bacterium. Its description in RNAcentral is "bacterial SSU rRNA". It matches the Rfam family "Bacterial small subunit ribosomal RNA", at positions 335 to 657 of the family's 1533-position model. The record is from RNAcentral.